CCGGCGACCGGCGCACGGUGAGUAACGCGUAUGCAACUUACCUAUCAGAGGGGGAUAACCCGGCGAAAGUCGGACUAAUACCGCAUGAAGCAGGGGCCCCGCAUGGGGAUAUUUGCUAAAGAUUCAUCGCUGAUAGAUAGGCAUGCGUUCCAUUAGGCAGUUGGCGGGGUAACGGCCCACCAAACCGACGAUGGAUAGGGGUUCUGAGAGGAAGGUCCCCCACAUUGGUACUGAGACACGGACCAAACUCCUACGGAAGGCAGCAG
Molecule: ribosomal RNA, 266 nt
Filed under: uncultured bacterium
Lineage: Bacteria
Description: partial 16S ribosomal RNA
Rfam family: Bacterial small subunit ribosomal RNA
Source: RNAcentral